Zerene cesonia (dogface butterfly) is the source of this 623-nucleotide long non-coding RNA. RefSeq lists it as uncharacterized. The transcript has 3 exons. Lineage: Eukaryota; Metazoa; Arthropoda; Insecta; Lepidoptera; Pieridae. The record is from RefSeq and is a predicted model, not a curated record.
GUCGUCCGUCUGGAGUCGCGGCGGCCGGCCGGGCCGCGCGGCGCAAUACACGUUCCUCGUGCUCUUGUGAUUGUAAAUUUAAUAAUACAAAUUCAAAAAUUAAUUAAAUUUUUAAAAAUUCUAACCGCGUCUAAUCGAAGAUAUUUUUAGGCUAAAAUUUCCCCCGAUCCCCCAUUUUUUAAACCUAAACUGUUGGCAGUGGAUAAAGUUUUGCGAAAUUUUUAAUAUUUACGUCGGUUACAUUUGUAAGAGAUUAAACGUUUGGCCGUUAUUGAGAAUAUUUUUUAUUUAAGAUUUAUUUUUUGAACUAGCGAACGACAAAUCAAGUGAGCAAUAAUUGAUGAAUAUAAUUGAUUAAUGAUAAGCGUUAAAUUAAUCAUAAGGACUUAGGAGUAAUAUAAUUGAACUGACUGCCACAUACUUCUAUCGAGUAUUGUGUUAUUUGGACGAUUGUGAUUUAUACGGACAUUGAACUGUUUUGUGAUCCAAAGACCAAUAUUUCCGGACCAAGACAAUCUACCAUCGGCCGAGAGUUCUCAAGCGUUGUGUAUUUUCUUUUAAAAGAUCCAGCGGAGCGCCACGGGCAGUUUCAUACAGGAUAGGUGUUCAAAAUCACAUUAAUG